RNAcentral lists this small RNA (533 nucleotides) under Pan troglodytes (chimpanzee). RNAcentral's name for it is "retained intron". The record is from RNAcentral. Lineage: Eukaryota; Metazoa; Chordata; Mammalia; Primates; Hominidae.
GUUAUGAUAUAAAAUUGCUUUGCAUUGCAGAAAUGUGAGGCCCUUUUGGAUUCCACUGUAUUGUCCUUGUACUGUUUGGGGCUGGUCUUUCUUUUUAAAUGGUAGAAUGUAUGAGACACCCAUACUCAUCUUUUCUUCUCUAUUAUUACAAGGUUGUAUCGCAGGCUCUCCACCAUCCCAGCCAAGGUUUGUUCUUUCCUCAUUCAAGCUGCUUUAAGUCUGUUGCUCUGACCUUUUGUAUCUACCUCCCAUCAACUACAGAUUGCUGAGGAGCUCUAUACUAAGGGAGAUCGGACAAAAGAUGCCAUAGACAUGUACACCCAGGCUGGUCGUUGGGAACAAGCCCACAAGCUGGCGAUGAAAUGCAUGAGACCAGAAGAUGUGUCAGUGCUGUACAUCACUCAGGCCCAGGAAAUGGAGAAGCAGGGCAAGUACCGUGAGGCUGAAAGGCUAUAUGUGACAGUACAAGAGCCUGAUCUUGCCAUCACCAUGUACAAAAAGCACAAGUUGUAUGAUGACAUGAUCCGCCUGGU